This 134-nucleotide ribosomal RNA is filed under the name Plasmodium falciparum (malaria parasite P. falciparum). Its description in RNAcentral is "partial 18S ribosomal RNA". Lineage: Eukaryota; Apicomplexa; Aconoidasida; Haemosporida; Plasmodiidae. The record is from RNAcentral.
GGAUAACUACGGAAAAGCUGUAGCUAAUACUUGCUUUAUUAUCCUUUGAUUUUUAUCUUUGGAUAAGUAUUUGUUAGGCCUUAUAAGAAAAAAGUUAUUAACUUAAGGAAUUAUAACAAAGAAGUAACACGUAA